UGCCUUAUAUCAUAAGAACUUUAGUAGAUGAGUAAAAUUCUGUCUUUAUUUUCCCUGUAUUAUGCCUGUUGCCAUGGUAACCAUCAAAUCAACAUUUUGCCUGAAUAUGUGAAAAAGACCCUUUUUGAAAAUAUAAAAUAAGGGAAUUUAAAGUCCCAUAGAAAUAUAGUUAAUCAAUACAAACAAUAUGUAUAUUUACAGUAUUGACAAACAAAACCCCAAACUAUACAAA
Molecule: long non-coding RNA, 232 nt
Filed under: Mytilus galloprovincialis (Mediterranean mussel)
Lineage: Eukaryota; Metazoa; Mollusca; Bivalvia; Mytilida; Mytilidae
Source: RNAcentral